Non-coding RNA from Labrus bergylta (ballan wrasse), 305 nucleotides. NCBI's taxonomy places the organism in Eukaryota, Metazoa, Chordata, Actinopteri, Labriformes, Labridae. The record is from RefSeq and is a predicted model, not a curated record.
UCUCUCUCUCUCUCUCUCUCUCUCGUCCUGCAGAGGUGGCAGACGUCUGUGUCUUUCUAUCUUCAGAUGACUCUCGGUACAUCACAGGAUCCAGUAUUGAAGUCACAGGAGGACUUUUCAUUGGCUGAAUCGUUCGUCUGAAACCCUGAUGAAGACCAACGGGGGGGCAGCUCCUUCAUAGUUAUAUCACUUGUUCAUAUAUUUCUUUGAUUUACAUGAUUGCUGCUGAAAACAUCUUAGAAAUCUGAAUGUGAACAUGUUUUAUGAAAACUUGUUUAGUGCCAAUAAACCUGUUUAUAACAUUU